UGGGGAAUAUUGCACAAUGGGCGCAAGCCUGAUGCAGCCAUGCCGCGUGUAUGAAGAAGGCCUUCGGGUUGUAAAGUACUUUCAGCGGGGAGGAAGGCGAUAAGGUUAAUAACCUUGUCGAUUGACGUUACCCGCAGAAGAAGCACCGGCUAACUCCGUGCCAGCAGCCGCGGUAAUACGGAGGGUGCAAGCGUUAAUCGGAAUUACUGGGCGUAAAGCGCACGCAGUCGGUCUGUCAAGUCUGAUGUGAAAUCCCCGGGCUCAACCUGGGAACUGCAUUCGAAACUGGCAGGCUAGAGUCUUGUAGAUGGGGGUAGAAUUCCAGGUGUAGCGGUGAAAUGCGUAGAGAUCUGGAGGAAUACCGGUGGCGAAGGCGGCCCCCUGGACAAAGACUGACGCUCAGGUGCGAAAGCGUGGGGAGCAAACA
This 427-nucleotide ribosomal RNA is filed under the name uncultured bacterium. Its description in RNAcentral is "partial 16S ribosomal RNA". It matches the Rfam family "Bacterial small subunit ribosomal RNA", at positions 355 to 774 of the family's 1533-position model. The record is from RNAcentral.